Molecule: long non-coding RNA, 278 nt
Organism: Etheostoma spectabile (orangethroat darter)
Lineage: Eukaryota; Metazoa; Chordata; Actinopteri; Perciformes; Percidae
Exons: 3
Source: RefSeq, a predicted model, not a curated record
UCUGGGUGUGCUGGUCUUACAGGAGGUGUGUUCAGGUGAAUUUGGGUGUGAGUGGUCUUAAGGGCGGUGUGUUAGGUGCAUUCUGGGUGGUGCUGGUCUUAAGGGAGGUGUGUCAGGUGCAUUCUGGGCGUGUGGUCUUACAGCGAGGUGUGUUCCGGUGCAUUCUGGGUGUGCUGGUCUUACAAGGAGGUGUGUUCCGGUGCAUUCUGGGCGUGCUGGUGUUACAGGAGGUGUGUAGGUGCAUUGGGGUGCUGGUCUUAAAGGGAGGUGUGUUCAGG